Molecule: transfer RNA, 72 nt
Filed under: Candidatus Anstonella stagnisolia
Lineage: Archaea; Nanobdellati; Microcaldota; Candidatus Micrarchaeia; Candidatus Anstonellales; Candidatus Anstonellaceae
Description: tRNA-Thr(cgt)
Rfam family: tRNA
About the family: Transfer RNA (tRNA) molecules are approximately 80 nucleotides in length. Their secondary structure includes four short double-helical elements and three loops (D, anti-codon, and T loops). Further hydrogen bonds mediate the characteristic L-shaped molecular structure. tRNAs have two regions of fundamental functional importance: the anti-codon, which is responsible for specific mRNA codon recognition, and the 3' end, to which the tRNAs corresponding amino acid is attached (by aminoacyl-tRNA synthetases). tRNAs cope with the degeneracy of the genetic code in two manners: having more than one tRNA (with a specific anti-codon) for a particular amino acid; and 'wobble' base-pairing, i.e. permitting non-standard base-pairing at the 3rd anti-codon position.
Source: RNAcentral
GCCCCUGUAGCUCAGAGGUAGAGCGCCUGUCUCGUAAACAGGAGGUCGUGGGUCCAAUUCCCAUCGGGGGCU